Molecule: ribosomal RNA, 489 nt
Filed under: uncultured bacterium
Lineage: Bacteria
Description: partial 16S ribosomal RNA
Rfam family: Bacterial small subunit ribosomal RNA
Source: RNAcentral
GAUGAACGCUAGCUACAGGCUUAACACAUGCAAGUCGAGGGGCAGCAUGAACUUAGCUUGCUAAGUUUGAUGGCGACCGGCGCACGGGUGAGUAACACGUAUCCAACCUGCCGAUGACUCGGGGAUAGCCUUUCGAAAGAAAGAUUAAUACCCGGUGGCAUAGUUCUUCCGCAUGGUAGAACUAUUAAAGAAUUUCGGUCAUCGAUGGGGAUGCGUUCCAUUAGGUUGUUGGCGGGGUAACGGCCCACCAAGCCUUCGAUGGAUAGGGGUUCUGAGAGGAAGGUCCCCCACAUUGGAACUGAGACACGGUCCAAACUCCUACGGGAGGCAGCAGUGAGGAAUAGUGGUCAAUGGACGAGAGUCUGAACCAGCCAAGUAGCGUGAAGGAUGACUGCCCUAUGGGUUGUAAACUUCUUUUAGACGGGAAGAAAGUGAGGCACGGGUGCCUUUUUGUAUGUACCGUAUGAAUAAGGAUCGGCUAACUCCGUG